Molecule: long non-coding RNA, 971 nt
Organism: Microtus oregoni (creeping vole)
Lineage: Eukaryota; Metazoa; Chordata; Mammalia; Rodentia; Cricetidae
Exons: 4
Source: RefSeq, a predicted model, not a curated record
CUUUUGUUUAUUAAUGGAUUUACUCAUGCGUUUGUGUCUACUCAGAAACACCCAUUUCUUAAAGGAGUACUCCUUUGUCAUCAUUAUAUACUGUGAUGCUUAAAUUAUCCCAUAACAUGCCCGUGGGAGUACAUUCAAGUGGACCUGCUCUUCAUUUGUUAUCUGUCUAGAAUUCUGGAUUAUCUGACCACCCCUGGGAAGAAAGCCAAAAGCAAAUGCUUCUUGUCAGUGAUACUUUGUGUCCUCUGCCUAUCAAUGUCAGGUCUCUUCUAUGAGAAGAACAGCAGGACUGCAGAGAGAACACGCAGAAUGUUGACAAGAAGCUGACAUGAGCCCUUGUUUCCAGUAUGGUCUGGGUCAUUGGCUGUGCACACACAUCCACAGACAGUACAACAACAGCCUCUAGUCCCUUGUUGCUGACCUUUGGGAAGCUGGGCAUGUAAGAUAUAUGUCUUGAAAAAAGCAAUCAUUUUAGAGUCUAUUUCAGUCAGCAAUAAGAACAUCGGUUAUUUUUGGCUUUUGUUUUGUGUUUGGUAAGUUAUGUCCAUUUACAUUUUUUACAUUUAUUUGUCUGCCUAUUUUGUGUGUCUGGCAAGGCCAUACAUGAUCUACAGUGUACUUGUAGAGGUCAGAGGACAACUUGCAGGAGUCAUUUCUCUGCUUCCACAAUGUGGGUCCUUGGGAUCCAACUGAAGUCAUCAGAAGCAGUACUCGGGCUUCUAUUACACUUUAAUACGAUCUACAUAUAAGAACAGGGGAGAAAACAGUGAACUUUCCAUGCAGAACCAACUCCUGGAGAAGAACCAAAAGUGGUGUGGUCUGUUCAGCCUGUUACCUGAGCAACAGUGACAAGAUCAUGUGGGACUCACCAGGUCAGUCAUUUCCUUUUCUCUUCCCAUCCGUGUGACCAGCAGCUGGUCUGUGAUGCCUUGUAGGAACACAUCCUGUUGAGCAGGUAGCAGCAAGAGCAG